UAACUUUCAUUAUUAUCAUUUUUUGGCAAACACUCCCAUUAUUAAAAUACUUUAUAAAUAUUUUAAAAUUUAAUUUUUAUAUAUUUGUGCAUUUGGAAGGUAUAAUGAUUUCGUUCCCACAAUUUCAAAUUCAUAGCACUAGUGAACUGAUUUGCUGCAAAAGGAGGCGAUAAGUGCAUGCCAAUAUACAUAAUAAUGUUACUAAAAAGGUAAGCUAGUCCAUUCUACUUUCUAUACCUGUAAAUUAUGAAAUCUUCUCAAUCAAGAAUAACAGUACAUGGUAUCAAAAUCAAGCAUAAUUAUUCAGGUGUUGAAUUGAAUUUAGAGGAGGCCAAAUGAUGCUUAGGGUGUUUGGGUCUGGGGGAAGCUUGGAGGGGAGCGGGGAACGUAAGAUAUCCAGGUUGUUGGGUCUCCCGGGUUAAAGCCAGGUGGGGGAGGAGGAGCUGGUAAGUAGUAGGAUCUCCUAGAUUAAAUGCAGGUGGAGGGGGUGGAACAAAAAGAGAUGGGCUAGGACGGAAGGGAGGGUGAGGGGAGAAAGGGAAAGGCAAAGAUGGUGGAUUGGGAUGUGGAGUGGGAUAGGGCAAGCGAGGAAAGGGCCAUGAUGGCAAAGGUGGCAUGGGAGGGAAUGGGAAUGAUGAAAGGGGAGGUAACGAGGGAAAUGGCUAAGGGAAUCCAAAUUCUGGGAAAGGAAAGGAGUUCAAAGAAGUUGAGGACAGCUCUUCAGGGGUAAAGUUACCUAGGAGUUAAAUUUUAUUUUUCUUUUUAAAAAAAAUUAAGUAAAUAUGUUUUUGUAUAAUAGACCAAAAAAUAAAUUAAUUUUUUUAUUAAAAAUUUAAUAUAUUUUUAUUGUUAAAAACUGAUAUAAAUGACAAAAUAACUAAUACAGUAUACCUUAUUUUGACCUACAAUAAUUAAUUUUUAAUAAUAAAAAUAAAUAAAAUUAUUAAUAAAAAGAUUAAUUUGUUCUUCAAUUUAAUAUAUAAAAAUAUAAUUUACUUAUUUUUAAAAAAUAAAAAUAAAAUACAAUCUAACUCUUAACAAAUAACUUCCAAUAUUUUUACCACUGUUUGUGAUUUCUACACAGGGUGGCAUUUCUCUUGGAAGGCCUGUAACUCAGUGCAUUCAAGCUGUAGAUGCACAGAUUAUCUUGUUUUGAUUUGACAGUUAUCUGAUUUGUGGAUGUCUUCAAACCUGGUACAUCGCAUGCUUUGGAUUUGCUCCCUACUAAACUUG
This 1233-nucleotide long non-coding RNA is filed under the name Gossypium raimondii (Peruvian cotton). RNAcentral's name for it is "long non-coding RNA (GRAI_LNC004153)". Lineage: Eukaryota; Viridiplantae; Streptophyta; Magnoliopsida; Malvales; Malvaceae. The record is from RNAcentral.